GGCCUACCAUGGUGGUAACGGGUAACGGGGUGUUAGGGCACGACACCGGAAAGGGAGCCUGAAAAACGGCUACCACAUCCAAGGAUGGCAGCAGGCGCGCAAAUUACCCAAUCCCGACACGGGGAGGUAGUGACAAUAAAUAACAAUACGGGGUUCUUUCGGAUCUCGUAAUUGGAAUGAGUACAAUUUAAAUCUCUUAACGAGGAACAAUUGGAGGGCAAGUCUGGUGCCAGCAGCCGCGGUAAUUCCAGCUCCAAUAGCGUAUAUUAAAGUUGUUGCAGUUAAAAAGCUCGUAGUUGAAUUUCGGGGUCAGCAGGUUGGUCGUGCCAAUGGUAUGAACUGGCCUUGCUGAUUCCUCCCUCUUGAUGAGCCGUAAUGUCAUUAAUUUGGUGUUGCGGGAAAUCAGGACUGUUACUUUGAAAAAAUUAGAGUGUUUAAAGCAGGCAAGCGCUUGAAUACAUGGGGGAUGGGAUAAUGAAAUAGGACGUUUGAUCCUAUUUUGUUGGUUUCUAGGAUUGACGUAAUGAUUAAUAGGGAUAGUUGGGGGCAUUAGUAUUCAAUUGUCAGAGGUGAAAUUCUUGGAUUUAUUGAAGACUAACUACUGCGAAAGCAUUUGCCAAGGAUGUUUUCAUUAAUCAAGAACGAAAGUUAGGGGAUCGAAGACGAUCAGAUACCGUCGUAGUCUUAACCAUAAACUAUGCCGACUAGGGAUCGGAUGAUGUUAUUUUUAUGACUCAUUCGGCGGCCUUACUG
This 753-nucleotide ribosomal RNA is filed under the name uncultured Glomeromycotina. RNAcentral describes it as "SSU rRNA". It matches the Rfam family "Eukaryotic small subunit ribosomal RNA", at positions 338 to 1093 of the family's 1831-position model. The record is from RNAcentral. Lineage: Eukaryota; Fungi; Glomeromycota.